AACGAACGCUGGCGGCAUGCCUAACACAUGCAAGUCGAACGAGAUCUUCGGGUCUAGUGGCGCACGGGUGCGUAACGCGUGGGAAUCUGCCCUUUGGUUCGGAAUAACAGUUGGAAACGACUACUAAUACCGGAUGAUGACGAAAGUCCAAAGAUUUAUCGCCAGAGGAUGAGCCCGCGUAGGAUUAGCUAGUUGGUGUGGUAAAGGCGCACCAAGGCGACGAUCCUUAGCUGGUCUGAGAGGAUGAUCAGCCACACUGGGACUGAGACACGGCCCAGACUCCUACGGGAGGCAGCAGUGGGGUAUAUUGGACAAUGGGCGAAAGCCUGAUCCAGCAAUGCCGCGUGAGUGAUGAAUGCCUUAGGGUUGUAAAGCUCUUUUACCCGGGAUGAUAAUGACAGUACCGGGAGAAUAAGCUCCGGCUAACUCCGUGCCAGCCGCCGCAGUAA
Molecule: ribosomal RNA, 449 nt
Filed under: uncultured bacterium
Lineage: Bacteria
Description: partial 16S ribosomal RNA
Rfam family: Bacterial small subunit ribosomal RNA
Source: RNAcentral